UACACAGCAUUUUUUUGCAUUAUUUUGCGUAAAAAUAACUUAGGUGCUACAUUUUCUUGUUCCGUUUACCAAUUUUUAUUCCAAAGAAGCAACUUUUAUUCUUUCAAGGCUCCAGUUUCAGAAUCCCACUUCUCCAGCUUCCCCUAACAAUAUUAAUUUUCAGCAAGAAUUGGGAUUGUUUGGAUUAAGAACUUCGAAAGCCAAAUCGAGAAUUUGAGAGAGCAAGAGAUGAGCAGCAAUAAGAACAAAGUGUUAAUAGUAGGAGGCACUGGCUACUUAGGCCAGCACCUAUUACAAGGCUUCUCUGAAAAUCAAGAAACAUCACAAUAUGCCUUAGCAUUCACGCAUUACACAAGCCCUCCACCGCAGCCAUUGCUGGAUGCCAUUCCUCAAGCUCUCCCCUUUCAUGUCGAUUUACGUACUGGUGAUGGGUUUGAUGCCAUCUCCCAGAAAUUCGGGCAUCCUGAUAUAGUGGUUAAUUGUGCUGCCCUUUCUGUUCCUCGUGCUUGUGAGAUGGAUCCUGCUGGUGCCAUGUCUAUAAAUGUGCCUUCUGCUCUUGUUAAAUGGAUGUCGAGCUUCAAUAAUAGCAAUGCUCUUCUCAUUCAUUUGUCAACUGAUCAAGUUUAUGAAGGAACCAAAUCCUUCUACAAGGAAGAAGAUGAAACUCUUCCUGUGAAUGUUUAUGGGAAAUCCAAAGUGGCAGCUGAGCAAUUUAUACGAACAAGCUGCUCAAACUUUACCAUUUUGAGGAGCAGUAUCAUAUAUGGGCCACAAACAGUCUCACCUGUUCCAAAGUCGCUUCCAAUUCAGUGGAUAGAUAGUGUCCUUGCCAAGGGUGAAACGAUUCAAUUUUUCUAUGAUGAGUACCGUUGCCCUGUUUAUGUCAAGGACCUUGUGCAUAUUAUACAAGCUUUGAGCAUCAGAUGGAUCUCAGAGGGCAAGCCAAUGCAAUUGGUGGUAAAUAUUGGUGGGCCAGCUAGGGUGUCCAGGGUUCAAAUGGCUGAGGCUGUUGCUCAUGUUGGAGGCCACAAGACCUCAUUAAUCAAUCCGGUCUCUGCAUUGUCGGUUGAUCGUGGUGUCAAUUCCCCUUCUGACAUAUCCAUGGAUAUCACUAAACUGAUUCAGACAGUUGGUAUCUCUCCUAUUACGUUUACAGAUGGUGUCAGAUUGACUCUUGAAUGCUAAAGUCCAUUCCAUGCUUUGUGGGUUACUUCCUCCCUCAGUCAUGUUAUUUGUAACGCUCCCCUUGGGUCACUGAUCUGGUAUACAUGCUCAUUCACUGAUAAAUUAGGGCGGAUAGAGAGAUUAUACAUUGAUGGCAAAUUAUAUGUCACAGAGUAGAUAAAAGGAACCAUCAAAAGGCUAGCAGUGCAUAUUGAUAGAGGUCGCUAGGAAUGUACUUGAAGUUGCCCUUAGGGAACACCUCUGCAACAAGCUUGCUUUCUGAACAGCAGGACUGGUGGCUAAGCUUUAAGGACAUAUUCCUGAUAUCAGUAAGUGAGAUUUGGAUUCUUCCAGCUUGCGGUGCCAAUGGCAUUAUGGGAUAUUUACAUCGGUUCAAUUCCAUUUCAUGUCAGUAUAGAUAUUAUUUGCUGCAGUGAGGUUGACAUUGAGAUGGAAAGUAAAACGACUAUAAACAAUGCAGAUUAGAGAUUUUGCUCCCUUUUGGAUGCAUUCAAAAUUCUUGGACUGUUUUCUCCACCAUAUGCUCUUUUACGCGGAGAAUAUUGAUGAACUUCCAGAACAAAUUCCACCUUUGACCGGUUCAGAAU
Coffea eugenioides is the source of this 1772-nucleotide RNA transcript. It is a transcript of the gene named methionine adenosyltransferase 2 subunit beta-like, with no coding region annotated. The record is from RefSeq and is a predicted model, not a curated record. The transcript is spliced from 7 exons. NCBI's taxonomy places the organism in Eukaryota, Viridiplantae, Streptophyta, Magnoliopsida, Gentianales, Rubiaceae.